GAUGAACGCUGGCGGCGUGCCUAAUACAUGCAAGUCGAGCGAACAGACGAGGAGCUUGCUCCUCUGACGUUAGCGGCGGACGGGUGAGUAACACGUGGAUAACCUACCUAUAAGACUGGGAUAACUUCGGGAAACCGGAGCUAAUACCGGAUAAUAUAUUGAACCGCAUGGUUCAAUAGUGAAAGACGGUGUUGCUGUCACUUAUAGAUGGAUCCGCGCCGCAUUAGCUAGUUGGUAAGGUAACGGCUUACCAAGGCAACGAUGCGUAGCCGACCUGAGAGGGUGAUCGGCCACACUGGAACUUGGCCACGGUCCAGACGCCUACGGGAGGCAGCAGUAGGGAAUCUUCCGCAAUGGGCGAAAGCCUGACGGAGCAACGCCGCGUGAGUGAUGAAGGUCUUCGGAUCGUAAAACUCUGUUAUUAGUGAAGAACAAAUGUGUAAGUAACUAUGCACGUCUUGACGGUACCUAAUCAGAAAGCCACGGCUAACUACGUG
This 497-nucleotide ribosomal RNA is filed under the name uncultured bacterium. RNAcentral describes it as "partial 16S ribosomal RNA". It matches the Rfam family "Bacterial small subunit ribosomal RNA", at positions 28 to 507 of the family's 1533-position model. The record is from RNAcentral.